RNAcentral lists this ribosomal RNA (113 nucleotides) under Escherichia coli 536. RNAcentral also lists the same sequence under 1 other name. The record is from RNAcentral. Lineage: Bacteria; Pseudomonadati; Pseudomonadota; Gammaproteobacteria; Enterobacterales; Enterobacteriaceae.
CUGGCGGCCUUAGCGCGGUGGUCCCACCUGACCCCAUGCCGAACUCAGAAGUGAAACGCCGUAGCGCCGAUGGUAGUGUGGGGUCUCCCCAUGCGAGAGUAGGGAACUGCCAG